This is a long non-coding RNA of Acinonyx jubatus (cheetah), 1051 nucleotides long. RefSeq lists it as uncharacterized. NCBI's taxonomy places the organism in Eukaryota, Metazoa, Chordata, Mammalia, Carnivora, Felidae. The transcript is spliced from 3 exons. The record is from RefSeq and is a predicted model, not a curated record.
GAGAAAUAGACUUAUAACUCAUUUUAGUGCCAGGUUCUACAACGAACUUAUUUACAAUGAGUUGUAUUUCGAAUUUAGUUUUGACCUUUAAAAAUAUGUCCAGUGUUCUGUGGGAGUACAUUAACUCUUUGAAGAAACAAAAGCAUCCAAUUCAAACAAGAAAGAGAACUAUGCACUAGAGAUGAUCACUAUUGCAGAAUUCAUUAUGGAAUAUUUUUUAUUAUAAUUUAUUGUCAAAUUGGCUUACAUCCAACACCCAGUGCUCAGCCCAAAAAGUGCCCUACUCAAUGCCCAUCACCUGUUUUCCCUCUCCACCACUCCCCAUCCACCCUCAGUUUGUUCUUUGUGUUUAAGAGUCUCUUGUGGUUUGCCUCCCUCCUUCUCUGUUUGUAACUAUUUUGUUUCCCCUUCCCUUUUUCCCCCAUGGACUUCUGUUAAGGUUCUAAAGAUCGUUGUGGAAUAUUUAAAUGAAUUGUGUGUACACCGGAUAGGAACAUUGUGAAGAGUGGGUUUCGUCACUGAUCUUUUGAUGGUGUUUGGGUUUAAACCCCAGAUUCAUCAUUCUGUGUGUGUGAACUUGGGUGAGCAUUUACAUUUCUAAACUUAUAGCCUCAUUGUUAAUGAGAAUUAUAUAUGAUUAUUUUGCGGAUGUAAAUCCAUGCUCAGCACAUAGUAAAAACUUGAGAAAGAUCAACCAUAUAAAGCCAUGUUUCUCUUCUCCUUUGUUUUGUUUUCUGAGCCUCUUGAAGAAGGUUCUGGUAACAGUUUCAAUUGCAACUUGAGGUUUAUGAAGGAAAAGGCACGGCAAUGACUCCUUUUCUGUGUCCCACCAAGUCAAAGUUCACAACCGACUGGCAAAACAAUCUGUGUGUUGGUUUGCACUCUGAAGGUAUUAAUAACUUGGGAGAUUCCUGUCAAGUCUCCAGAUCCAGAAGUCUCUAGCUUCUUAGAAACACUAACUGGAAGAAAAUCCAAGAGAUCCACAAGAAUUACUUUGCUUGCUACUUGGGACAUUCGGAAGGCAUCAAUGAAAGCCAUGUCAACAUAUUGU